CAGAGUCAUCACUAGAAGCACUUCCAUUGACAGAAAUUGGUGACCCUGGCAAUCCGGGGGCUACUUCCGGCAUCGGAGGCGGAUUCAUUGAUGCUGAACUCAACUCUAUUCUCAAUUGCUUGGUUUGUCAAGAAGCAGAAGCUUUCUAUCUAAGGAGAAGAAGCAGAAGGUAGAGGAAAUGGAAGACCCAAAUGUUAAAGAAACAGAGACAACAAACAUGGAAGUAGCCAGGUAGGUAAUUUGGUUAACUGGGUAUGUUUGUGUUUAUCAAAACCGAAGUAGAAUAGAGAGAAGAAGAAGAACAAAGAGAGAGAGAGAGAGAGAUGAGGAGAAGC
This is a long non-coding RNA of Cucurbita maxima (winter squash), 335 nucleotides long. RefSeq lists it as uncharacterized. The record is from RefSeq and is a predicted model, not a curated record. Lineage: Eukaryota; Viridiplantae; Streptophyta; Magnoliopsida; Cucurbitales; Cucurbitaceae. The transcript is spliced from 3 exons.